UACAACUUAUCCUAAUCCCCUCACCAACAAGAUUGAUGUAAAGAUUGUUCACUCAAUACAUAAAAUCAGACACCAAAACAAUCGAACUGGUUAGCAUCCCAAGAAAAUCACAAUUGUGCCCGCCAAAUUAUCAUUUCCCACCUAUAAAGUUCUUUACGCAGUUGCAAAGUUUUCAUAGUUGGCACCCCCAUUAGCCGAAGUUCAAACCCUGCAAGAAAAAAACUUCUAUGGAAGAAUCCAAACAGCAAGAAAUUUAGCCAAACCGAUGAAGAGUCUCCGAGUCUCUGCGA
Molecule: unclassified non-coding RNA, 290 nt
Filed under: Hevea brasiliensis (rubber tree)
Lineage: Eukaryota; Viridiplantae; Streptophyta; Magnoliopsida; Malpighiales; Euphorbiaceae
Source: RNAcentral